AAAUUGAAGAGUUUGAUCAUGGCUCAGAUUGAACGCUGGCGGCAGGCCUAACACAUGCAAGUCGAGCGGAAACGAGUUAUCUGAACCUUCGGGGGACGAUAACGGCGUCGAGCGGCGGACGGGUGAGUAAUGCCUAGGAAAUUGCCCUGAUGUGGGGGAUAACCAUUGGAAACGAUGGCUAAUACCGCAUGAUGCCUACGGGCCAAAGAGGGGGACCUUCGGGCCUCUCGCGUCAGGAUAUGCCUAGGUGGGAUUAGCUAGUUGGUGAGGUAAGGGCUCACCAAGGCGAC
RNAcentral lists this ribosomal RNA (290 nucleotides) under Vibrio parahaemolyticus. RNAcentral's name for it is "partial 16S ribosomal RNA". It matches the Rfam family "Bacterial small subunit ribosomal RNA", at positions 1 to 277 of the family's 1533-position model. The record is from RNAcentral. Lineage: Bacteria; Pseudomonadati; Pseudomonadota; Gammaproteobacteria; Vibrionales; Vibrionaceae.